Molecule: long non-coding RNA, 124 nt
Organism: Etheostoma spectabile (orangethroat darter)
Lineage: Eukaryota; Metazoa; Chordata; Actinopteri; Perciformes; Percidae
Exons: 3
Source: RefSeq, a predicted model, not a curated record
UUUAUAGAACUUUUUCACGGCAGACAUGUUGACAUGUCAUAGUAGGAAAUGCACAGGUAUUCAAAACCAUUAUUGAUGGCUGGAUUCCACUUAGGAGAGGCCCUGGUGUUAAACCAUUAAUCAU